CCUACGGGAGGCAGCAGUAAGGAAUAUUGGGCAAUGGAGGCAACUCUGACCCAGCCAUGCCGCGUGAAGGAUGACUGCCCUAUGGGUUGUAAACUUCUUUUGUAUGGGAAUAAACCUCGGUACGUGUACCGAGCUGAAUGUACCAUAAGAAUAAGCAUCGGCUAACUCCGUGCCAGCAGCCGCGGUAAUACGGAGGAUGCAAGCGUUAUCCGGAUUUAUUGGGUUUAAAGGGUGCGUAGGCGGGAUUGUAAGUCAGUGGUGAAAUCCUUCAGCUCAACUGAAGAACUGCCAUUGAUACUGCAGACCUAGAGUACAUUUGAAGUGGGCGGAAUGUGUCAUGUAGCGGUGAAAUGCUUAGAGAUGACACAGAACACCAAUUGCGUAGGCAGCUCACUAAACUGUAACCGACGCUGAGGCACGAAAGCGUGGGGAUCAAACAGGAUUAGAUACCCUGGUAGUCCACGCCGUAAACUAUGAUCACUCGAUGUUGGCGAUACACUGUCGAGCGUCGUGNGNGAAGAACGAUUAAGUUAGAGUCCACCGUUGGGGUAGGUUACGGUUCGGCGAGACGAGAACGACGAAGGAAGUUAGACGGCGNGGAGACGNGCGACGGACGACACGAGGGAGGUUAAGG
Molecule: ribosomal RNA, 634 nt
Filed under: uncultured bacterium
Lineage: Bacteria
Description: bacterial SSU rRNA
Rfam family: Bacterial small subunit ribosomal RNA (bases 1-542)
Source: RNAcentral